CCUACGGGAGGCAGCAGUGGGGAAUUUUGGACAAUGGGCGCAAGCCUGAUCCAGCAAUGCCGCGUGAGUGAAGAAGGCCUUCGGGUUGUAAAGCUCUUUUGUCAGGGAAGAAACGGUGGGAGCUAAUAUCUCCUACUAAUG
This 141-nucleotide ribosomal RNA is filed under the name uncultured bacterium. RNAcentral describes it as "partial 16S ribosomal RNA". It matches the Rfam family "Bacterial small subunit ribosomal RNA", at positions 338 to 474 of the family's 1533-position model. The record is from RNAcentral.